Long non-coding RNA from Cavia porcellus (domestic guinea pig), 1813 nucleotides. RefSeq lists it as uncharacterized. The transcript has 3 exons. The record is from RefSeq and is a predicted model, not a curated record. Lineage: Eukaryota; Metazoa; Chordata; Mammalia; Rodentia; Caviidae.
AGCAUAAGUGCCUGCCUUGCAAGUGUGUGGUCGUGAGUUUGAUCCCUGGUACCAAUAAAAAAGAAAAAGACACAAACAAACAACAACAACAACAAAACAAAUUCUUGAGUACAUCAGUGAGAGAUUCUCUAGGAUUUAUACUUUGGGGGAAAAAAGUUGGGGGCUGUGUAUCCUAGACUCAGUUAACUUCAGCAUCUGUGCUCUGUCAUCUCCAGCAUGGCUGAACAAUUCACACAGUCAUCAGCAGUUCUGAGAAUAUCCACACACCCUCCCUGCCCCACUCCUGUCAGUAUUUCAUAGGAUCACACUUUAAGAUUUUGCUAAUCUAAUGGAUGGUUUUAUUUGUAUUUCUUUGACUACUAGUUCUAAUUUUAGUGUAUGUGCUGCCAGAGUGAACACAUCCUUGAUUACUGGUGAGUUUGACUUUUCCUCAAGUUUUUUGGCUAUUCAAGUUUUCUUCUUUGCCCGAUGGAGGCUUCCUUUAUGCUGGAUUCUCAUCUUUUGUCAGCUAUAUGCAUCACAAAAUCGUCUUAGGGAGAAAUUCCAAUCUCUGUUUACUAAGUAGCAAGCAUUGCAGAUGGCUGUUGCAAAUGACGCUUUAUUCUAGAGUUGGCUCUAAGCUUUGACAAAGAAAGAAAGCAAGGCUGUUGUGACAUAUAUUGUGGGGUGACAUGAUAACAGAGUAAGUCACAGUUCUUGGUGAAUGUCAGGCUUGAGUUAUUGGGGAGAAAGAAUCUAUCAAAAGCAAGAAACUAAUGUGUUGGAAAGCAGGUCAAAGCCAGUACAUUAGGGGCAGAAGGAAGAGACGUUUCCAGAAUAUGUGUUAAGGGGUAGACCCUGGUGGGGGAUGACUCUCUAAUAGGGUGGUUUCCAAUGGCUCUCAGGACUUAGGGUAAGAGGCCCCCUCAUUCCCAACUGUAAGUCCAGAGGUAGCCAUGCAGGGUGGUAUUUGAGAAGAAAAAUUCUUCACAGUUGGAGACUCAUCCCUGCUGCCACCAAGAUUUCACAGUGAUUGGCAGUCACUUUGCCAGGGAGGGUGGCUGCUCUCCACCACGGGAUGGGGCAGGGCGCUAGAGCUCUGAUCUGGACCAAGCGUCAUUGGACUUCAGACAGUCAGGUUUCAUUCUAUGCUGACUCCAACCUAGGACAUGCAAAUAGCACAACUGGAUGGUUUAGAUUUUGCCUUGUUUUCUUUCCUAUCUACCUACCUAGAAGAGGAGUAGGGGAGGCUGUGUGUCAAGAUGAUCCUCUCUAGAUGAAGGCAGAAAAGAAAUCCUCAGCAUAGAUGGCUGGCCAGUGACACACAGGACUGGUAGGACCACACUGGCAGUAUGGUCCUGUCUUGCCACGUGGAAUGCAAUGACCUGUGUGUUGACACAUCCGAGAAGCUUGGAAACAUAUAUCUCCUUUAAAAAGCGAUAUUUGUGGCUGUCUCCAGAGCCAUGUGAGGAAACCUAUCCCUGUUGAUGAAAAGUCCCGAAGCUGUGAAAGUGGCUGAGAAACAUCUGGUUACAGCGUGGGAGAAAAGGGUGUGAAAUGCUGACCGGCAGCCAAGACAGUUCUGGCUUUCAGUAACUGGAUUCUGAAAAUCUCAGCCUCAGAUAUGAUGUGAGAAGCCCUCUGCAGGACCUGCCCUUUGUAUAAAGUGAAACCUCCUCCUACAGAACUAAGAAGUACGGUACAACCCUUGAAGCAGUGGAUAACACAUUACUUCAUGAAGUGCUAUAAUUGAUAAUGUUUGGAAUCUCAAGACCUUUUGAGUUUAUUUUUUAAGGAAUCUGAUUGCUUUCCUGAUUAAUAUUAAUUUAAUAAA